UACGUAUGGUGCAAGCGUUAUCCGGAUUUACUGGGUGUAAAGGGAGCGCAGGCGGUGCGGCAAGUCUGAUGUGAAAACCCGGGGCCCAACCCCGGUACUGCAUUGGAAACUGCCGGACUGGAGUGUCGGAGGGGCAAGUGGAAUUCCUAGUGUAGCGGUGAAAUGCGUAGAUAUUAGGAGGAACACCAGUGGCGAAGGCGGCUUGCUGGACGAUGACUGACGCUGAGGCUCGAAAGCGUGGGGAGCAAACAGG
This 253-nucleotide ribosomal RNA is filed under the name uncultured bacterium. RNAcentral describes it as "partial 16S ribosomal RNA". It matches the Rfam family "Bacterial small subunit ribosomal RNA", at positions 524 to 776 of the family's 1533-position model. The record is from RNAcentral.